AGAUAGAGUACAAACUCCUUGGGAACAGAGUGUUUUUUAUGCUGCUAUGUGCCUAGUGCCUAGAGUAGUACCUGGCAUAGAGUAGGACUCACUACAUAUUUGACGAGUGGAUGAAUGACUGUCUCCUGUACCUUAUUUCUGGAGCCACAACCUGCCCUUGUUAUAACAGAUGAAGGAAAAGGUGGGAGAAACCAAUCAUCUGGAAGACCCUCUGAGAUGCCUUGGAGUCACACACCAUUGUUCUUAUUGACAGAUCAGUCCUGAGUCUCCAAUAAAGGUAGUUACUGCUCCUGUCUCUAUUGCUCUGAUGAGGACACUGGUUCAGAGAGGUUGUGCUUCUUGAA
Molecule: long non-coding RNA, 344 nt
Organism: Heterocephalus glaber (naked mole-rat)
Lineage: Eukaryota; Metazoa; Chordata; Mammalia; Rodentia; Bathyergidae
Source: RefSeq, a predicted model, not a curated record